AAACGCCAUUUCCAUUUUUCUCUUCAAUUUCAGAGCUCAAAAUUCCCAUUUGAAGAAAACCAUGGAGGAUUCGCAGAUCGCUCAAUCCGGAAACUCAGGGAAAUCUAAGAUUCAACGCUACGCGUUGCGAUCCGCGAUUAAGCUGAAGGAGGAGAAGGAGGAGGAGAAGCCUCCGGCUUCUUCGGAAUUCUCUAAUUCCACUGCUUCCAAGAGGGUGAGAGCUGCAUCUAGUGUAAGCAAAAGUGUGAGCGUUCUUGAUCUAUCUGGCAAGGAAAAGUCUACUAAGCCACCGAGAAGGCUCUCUAUUCCUGCCAAGCCGGCUGCGACUCCAGCUCUGAGACCUGUGAGCAGUAUCACUCCAAUUUCAGAGGUUAGAGGGAAGAGAUCUGAUAGCAUUCAAAGGAUAACAGACACACCGGUUUCGGAUGUCUCUAGAUUGUCAAGCCGAAAGAAGUUCAGUGUUCUGUCCUCUGCAUCUUAUUGGCUGUCUCAGAUUAAGCUCUCUGAAGCUGCUGCUAAGCACUCAGUUUCGCUUGGGUUCUUCAAGCUGGCCUUGGAAGCCGGGUGUGAGCCUCUUCAGCGAGUGAGAGAUGAGCUUACGUGCUAUGCUCGCCGUCAUAACCUUAGUGAACUUGGAGACCCUGUGAAGGAAUUAUUUGAGAGUUACAACAUUGUGGUUGAAAGCACGGGGCAGUUGCAGGUCUCUGAAACCUGUUCUCAGGUACCUGAGGAGGAAACUCGAUCAUCUGAUGACGAAAUCCGUAGCUCGUCUUCUACUGUAGGUUCCAGGAAACUGAAGCCGAAGGCCUCAAACUCUGAUGCAGCUAAAGUUUCCGCAGUUACAGGAUCAACCACCAAGAAGAACACUAUUCAGAAAGUUAAUCCCACAUCAACCAGGACUCGGGUAUCUUUGACAAAGAAUUCUGCCAAUUCAAGAUCUCUUGCUGACACUGGGGCCAAUAAGUCUAUAAAGAAACCCCAAAAGCCAAUUAAGCAAGAAUUGAAAAAAGAAAGGGAUUUGACGAAGAAAAAGGGAAAGAAAUCUGUUGAUGAAGAAGGUCCAGUUAGCCCCUCUCAUGCGGAAAAUCCGCUUCAAGAGAACAAAGAAAAUAUGGACGCUUCCUCCAUGGAAGAGAUCAGUUUGGCCGAGGUCAUGUAGCCAUUCUGCACCAAAUAUGGCAUGCCAGAUGAUUUUCAUAUUCUUGACGGGUUUGUCUUCAGUGUUUUUUUAGUGGGGGCUUUUCCAAUGUAUAGAAAGGAUUAUGGUGCAAGUUUGUCGGUUUCUCGAAAAAAAAGACAAGUGUACAACGUUUUGAUUUGAUCAACUAAGCAGAGAAAUGCAAUUUUAGUCCAUUAUCAAUCUGAGCUGAUUUACUACUUACUAGAUGGCUAAGAUACGACAAAAUAUUAAUCGCAGUUAACCAUGACAAAAGACAAGUUCUCAAUCUCCAAGGACCAAAACGACAAUACUCUCUCCUUAAGUUGACUAAACUCCACUUUCUUCUUAUUCUUUUCACUCUUCAGCUCGCUUGCUUUACUACUUUUGGUGGCUCUUGGUAGUUGGUACUCACUAGAACCUACGAGGGCUUGUUGAAGUGCUACGAAUAGGGAAUUGGAAGAGCAAUGCAAUGAAGGCGCGUUAAAGUUAUUAGAACGAUGGAAAAGCAUUUCGAGAAGAUGAGCUUGUUCUACGAAUAGGGCUUGUUCCAAUGAAAAUUUAAUAGUAUGAAUGCUUUGCAUGAAAGGGAACCUUUUCUAUCUAAUCAUGUGUUUACUUACUAAAUUAGUAGU
Morus notabilis is the source of this 1791-nucleotide RNA transcript. RefSeq lists it as uncharacterized. Lineage: Eukaryota; Viridiplantae; Streptophyta; Magnoliopsida; Rosales; Moraceae. The transcript is spliced from 7 exons. The record is from RefSeq and is a predicted model, not a curated record.